AUGAAUAUAUAUUACAAAAAAUUCAAUUUAGAAAAUUCAAUUAAAUUUCUAAAAAAAAUAAUUUUCUUUUCUUCUCCUCUCUUUCGUGACUCCUGCUCUCUCUCUCUCUCUCUCUCUCUCUCUGAGAGAAUGAUAAACACCUCAUGGGCACGACCUUUGCAUCUCCUCCUCUUCCCUGAAUUCGGAUCCUCUUCCCCAAUGGAGACCCACCCUCUUCGCCAUAGACGGUGCUUUGCAUUUCCCUUACAACCCUUCGAAACUCAUUGGCUUGGGAAAGACCUGCAAUUUUGGCGAUUUUGAUUCAUAGUUUUCAAUUGCUCAAUAUAUGGUUCCAUGAUUCGACAGGGAACAACACAAAUUGCCAAAGGUCCAAACUCCUUGAUAUAUCAAUAGCAGGUUGUUUGCAAACUUUUUUUAUGUAGCCAUGUUAUUUUGUUGUUGUGUUACCAAGUGGUUGGGGGUUCUCAUGUUUUCUGGUCCCGUUAUUCACUUUUUCCUUAUUUGCUUAUAGCUCCCAAAUUUUUUUGCGAUGCAUUUAUUUUGUUGUUUUCUUUCUUCAUUCCUCUAACUCAGUAUUCCCUGUUCUUUAAAGAAGAUGUGUUUUGUGAAGCAUGGCACUGUAGUUUUCUUUAUAUUCUUUUCCCUUUUCCCCAUAUAAAAAUAAAAUUAUUUGAAUGAACAGGUAAAACAUGUUAAGCCAACUAUGUUACCAUUUUUUUCUUGUCCACUUAUAUCUCAUAAAAGAAAAAAAAAUUUAGUGCUGCAUUUAUUUUGUUGUUUUCUUUCUUUCUUCCUCUAAGCCAGCCAGUAUUUUAUGAUCUUGAAAGAAGAUGUGUUUUGUGAAGCGUGGCACUGUAUAGUUUUCUUAAUUUCUUUUCCUUUCUUUUCUUUUCUUUUCUUUUCUCUUUUUUUUUUCCUUCCUAUAAACGUAAGGGGGUUUGUUGCUUGGUGCAAUAGUAAAAGCUCUACAGGACCUUUUUACCUAUGCCUAGCCUGCUCAGUUAGUGUCAAUGUCAAGAAAAUGCACCAAUCUCUAUCUUUUUUUCUUAAAGGUUUAUAUGUUUGUGAUUAUUUUAACUUGACAUGUUUUUAGUUGGUGGGUUGUCUUGGCAAUGUUUAUAUAUUUAUUAAUUCUUUCUAAGACCAUGGCUUUCCAUGAUUCUUGGCAAUCAUUUGUUUUCUAUUGUUAUUGUUGAUGCUGUUGCUAAAGACCAAGGGUACUUCUAAUUGUUGUUGUGGAUUGGAUUUGUCAUUAUUGUAACUUAACAAAUUUGAGUGCGGGUUCAUUCUAUAAAUGGAAAGGCAUUCUCAUAUGGAACUUGGGUUUUCUUCUGGACAUCAUGACGUUAUUGAUGGCACUCUGCCAUUAUGUGCAUAAUUGGUGGCUUCAUGGCAUGAAAUUUCAUCUUGUGGAUGUAGUUCUUUUCCUAAAUAUAUGUGUAAAGUUUCUCACUAUUUUUUUGUAGCAAUAUAUUGACAUUCAUUUGACUUGGACUUUUCAACAUUAUUAUUUCAUGUUUAUUUUGUUUAACACUUCAUAUUAUUGACCAGGCCUUGUUAGGUGCAAUUGUAAAACGUAUCAAAUGAUUUAUUAGGUUGAAGAUAGCUUUAGGCAUCCUUCAUGGAGCACUUCCAGAUGCAACACUUGAGGAGAUUGAAGCAUAUGAUGAUGAAUGUGCUAUUUGUAGGGAACCAAUGGCAAAGGCGAAGAGACUGUCUUGUAAACAUCUUUUCCAUCUAACAUGUUUGAGAUCUUGGUAUGAUCUAUGUUACGUGUUAUGAUCUUGGACCCCCCCAUCAUGAGCAGAGAGGAAUUUGAAGCUCGGAAAGCUGAUCUAUGAAGGAAGCAUACAACGGAAUCUAUUGCUGCAAAGGCACUAUCAAUAAGCAUCAUUCCUUAUUAUCUGUUAUUAUUGCUUGAGUUUUUGUUCCUAGGAAAUUUAGCAAGAAAUAGAACUUAAAAAGUUUUACUAGCAAUAAUGCUUCCCCAUAUUUAUAUCUAUCUGUGGAAGUGGCUAUCAGAUGCUACUCUGUUUUUACUGCAUAGUGUGAGAAUGCUGCUUCAAGUUUGUAGGAAGUUACUUUCUGCAAGUGCAAAUGUUACCAAAGGUUACUCCCUCUAUUCAUAGAUUCUAAUCAUGCCAUUAAUUUAACUAGGCUCUACAAUCCAAAAUUGAAUCCCAAUCAACAAGGGUCCAUCUUGGGCCUGUAGGCCUGCAAUGAGUUGUUCACAUGUGCACAACUACAAUGACAGAGAUCCUAAUCUUCCACUAUGGUGUAGCUUAAUUAGAUGGUAGUUCAUAGAUUGAAUUCCUCUGUUUUGUCAUAAAGGGGUCCAUGCCAUUCAGUCGUUUACAUUUUGUUUUAUUGCCAAAAACCUAAGACUAGCUUGACAAGUGACAAUAAUGUGAAGAGAGAGUUAUUCUUAAUUGCUUUUAUGUGUUGUACUUUGUACAGGAAGCUGUCCUUUGUUUUGUUACAUGUCUUUGUCAAUCCUAUGUAAAGCACAAAUAGAAUCAUUUAGAAACACAAAUAUCAUUUAGGUAUAACAACCACAACUAGCUGAGUCAAAUAUCAUUUAGAAACACAAAUAUC
Molecule: non-coding RNA, 2595 nt
Organism: Camellia sinensis
Lineage: Eukaryota; Viridiplantae; Streptophyta; Magnoliopsida; Ericales; Theaceae
Source: RefSeq, a predicted model, not a curated record